This is a small nucleolar RNA of Grammomys surdaster, 104 nucleotides long. RefSeq annotates it as small nucleolar RNA U13. NCBI's taxonomy places the organism in Eukaryota, Metazoa, Chordata, Mammalia, Rodentia, Muridae. The transcript has a single exon. The record is from RefSeq and is a predicted model, not a curated record.
AUCUUUUUUUAGUUCAUAAGUAAGAUGAUUAAGUAUUCGAAUCACUGUGUGACAUAUACUACCCUCAAACUUUGUUAUGAGGUUGGUACAUUAUUCAUUUGACA